UGAAUCCCGGUGUGAGAGGGGGUGAUAAUAUUUUAUUCAAGUGAUUGAGUGGGUAGGAUAUUGGGGGAUUAAGUCAUUAGUGGAUGAGAAGGGGAGUUAAUCCAAAUUUGUAUUUUAUUUUAUUUUAUUUUAUUCCUAUUCUCUCUUUUCCAAAAAAAAUUUCGACGUAAGUUUUUGCCUUCUUCCAUUUUUCUAUUUUUCUUUCGUUUUCCCCUAUUUAAUUUUGCACUCCCCUUUUUGUUAUUCGCCUGCACUUCAGGAUUUUG
This 266-nucleotide long non-coding RNA is filed under the name Gossypium raimondii (Peruvian cotton). RNAcentral describes it as "long non-coding RNA (GRAI_LNC004392)". The record is from RNAcentral. Lineage: Eukaryota; Viridiplantae; Streptophyta; Magnoliopsida; Malvales; Malvaceae.